RNAcentral lists this ribosomal RNA (599 nucleotides) under uncultured bacterium. RNAcentral describes it as "bacterial SSU rRNA". It matches the Rfam family "Bacterial small subunit ribosomal RNA", at positions 338 to 951 of the family's 1533-position model. The record is from RNAcentral.
CCUACGGGAGGCAGCAGUAGGGAAUUUUCCGCAAUGGGCGAAAGCCUGACGGAGCAAUACCGCGUGAGGGAUGACGGCCUGUGGGUUGUAAACCUCUUUUCUCAAGGAAGAAGUUCUGACGGUACUUGAGGAAUAAGCAUCGGCUAACUCUGUGCCAGCAGCCGCGGUAAUACAGAGGAUGCAAGCGUUAUCCGGAAUCACUGGGCAUAAAGCGUCUGUAGGUUGUUUAGUAAGUCUGCUGUUAAAGACUGGGGCUUAACCCCAGAAAAGCAGUGGAAACUGCUAGACUCGAGUGUGGUAGAGGUAGAGGGAAUUCCUAGUGUAGCGGUGAAAUGCGUAGAUAUUAGGAAGAACACCAAUGGCGAAGGCACUCUACUGGGCCAUAACUGACACUGAGAGACGACAGCUAGGGGAGCAAACGGGAUUAGAUACCCCGGUAGUCCUAGCCGUAAACGAUGGAUACUAGAUGUUGCACGUAUUAACCCGUGCAGUAUCGUAGCUAAGGCGUUAAGUAUCCCGCCUGGGAAGUACGCNCGCAGAGUAGAACUACAAGAAGUAGACGCGUGAGACGNGCCGACGGACGACGACGAGGGAGUAGG